Molecule: unclassified non-coding RNA, 28 nt
Filed under: Mus musculus (house mouse)
Lineage: Eukaryota; Metazoa; Chordata; Mammalia; Rodentia; Muridae
Description: oocyte_clustered_small_RNA9186
Source: RNAcentral
AGGAUGCUCACAGACAUCCAUGGGACUG